Molecule: ribosomal RNA, 253 nt
Filed under: uncultured bacterium
Lineage: Bacteria
Description: partial 16S ribosomal RNA
Rfam family: Bacterial small subunit ribosomal RNA
Source: RNAcentral
UACGGAGGGAGCUAGCGUUGUUCGGAAUUACUGGGCGUAAAGCGCACGUAGGCGGCUUUGUAAGUUAGAGGUGAAAGCCCGGGGCUCAACUCCGGAACUGCCUUUAAGACUGCAUCGCUUGAAUCCUGGAGAGGUGAGUGGAAUUCCGAGUGUAGAGGUGAAAUUCGUAGAUAUUCGGAAGAACACCAGUGGCGAAGGCGACUUACUGGACACAUAUUGACGCUGAGGUGCGAAAGCGUGGGGAGCAAACAGG